UACGGAGGAUGCGAGCGUUAUCCGGAUUUAUUGGGUUUAAAGGGUGCGUAGGCGGGCUUUUAAGUCAGCGGUAAAAAUUCGGGGCUCAACCCCGUCCGGCCGUUGAAACUGGGGGCCUUGAGUGGGCGAGAAGAAGGCGGAAUGCGUGGUGUAGCGGUGAAAUGCAUAGAUAUCACGCAGAACCCCAAUUGCGAAGGCAGCCUUCCGGCGCCCUACUGACGCUGAGGCACGAAAGUGCGGGGAUCGAACAGG
RNAcentral lists this ribosomal RNA (252 nucleotides) under uncultured bacterium. Its description in RNAcentral is "partial 16S ribosomal RNA". It matches the Rfam family "Bacterial small subunit ribosomal RNA", at positions 524 to 776 of the family's 1533-position model. The record is from RNAcentral.